AUUGAACGCUGGCGGCAGGCCUAACACAUGCAAGUCGAGCGAGCGGCGGACGGGUGAGUAAUGUAUGGGGACUGCCCGAUAGAGGGGGAUAACUACUGGAAACGGUGGCUAAUACUGCAUAUUGACGGAUAACCCAUAUGGGAUUAGCUAGUAGGUAAGGUAAUGGCCUACCUAGGCGACGAUCCCUAGCUGGUUGGAGAGGAUGACCAGCCACACUGGGACUGAGACACGGCCCAGACUCCUACGGAGGCAGCAGUGGGGAAUAUUGCACAAUGGGGGCAAGCCUGAUGCAGCCAUGCCGCGUGUAUGAAGAAGGCCCUAGGGUUGUAAAGUACUUUCAGUCGGGAGGCGUUACCGACAGAAGAAGCACCGGCUAACUCCGUGCCAGCAGCCGCGGUAAUAC
Molecule: ribosomal RNA, 403 nt
Filed under: uncultured bacterium
Lineage: Bacteria
Description: partial 16S ribosomal RNA
Rfam family: Bacterial small subunit ribosomal RNA
Source: RNAcentral